RNAcentral lists this ribosomal RNA (79 nucleotides) under Duganella sp. sic0402. RNAcentral describes it as "partial 23S ribosomal RNA". It matches the Rfam family "Bacterial large subunit ribosomal RNA", at positions 2847 to 2925 of the family's 2925-position model. Lineage: Bacteria; Pseudomonadati; Pseudomonadota; Betaproteobacteria; Burkholderiales; Oxalobacteraceae. The record is from RNAcentral.
AGGACGUUGAUAGGUCAGGUGUGGAAGUGCAGUAAUGCAUUAAGCUAACUGAUACUAAUUGCCCGUACGGCUUGUCCCU